Molecule: ribosomal RNA, 154 nt
Organism: Cryptomeria japonica (Japanese cedar)
Lineage: Eukaryota; Viridiplantae; Streptophyta; Pinopsida; Cupressales; Cupressaceae
Product: 5.8S ribosomal RNA
Exons: 1
Source: RefSeq, a predicted model, not a curated record
GACUCUCGGUAAUGGAUAUCCUGGCUCUCACCAUGAUGAAGAAUGUAGCGAAAUGUGAUACUUAGUGUGAAUUGCAAAAUCCUGUGAAUCAUCGAGUCUUUGAAAACAAGUUGCACCCGAGGCCUCAGUCAAGGGCAUAUCUGCUUGGGCAUCG